RNAcentral lists this long non-coding RNA (5794 nucleotides) under Heterocephalus glaber (naked mole-rat). RNAcentral describes it as "lncRNA (ENSHGLG00100035864.1)". The record is from RNAcentral. Lineage: Eukaryota; Metazoa; Chordata; Mammalia; Rodentia; Bathyergidae.
CUCUGCCUCAUGCUGUAUGAUUUUAGCUGAAAAUCUCUUCCGUUGCAGCUUUGCUUUUAUUGAAUUCAUCAAAAGCAAACUUUCCCUGAGUUUUUUUUUUUUUUUAAGAAGGCUAAAAUAAUACGCCGACCACUGUGACAUUCUCCGCUCCCAGGCCAUUUUUCAUAACGCCUCGGAUCCGCUUUUGUGCCUCUGAGGCGACUAAACAGAUGAAUAACGAGCAAAGUCUCCCGAAAGUAAGCUAGCAGCUUUUCUCAGCUCGAAAAAAGUUAACUGAAAUGAGAGGUGCAUGUAAAACCCCCACACUCAAAGAUGGGGGCCACACUUUUAUUACCCUGAAGGACAACGAUGUCUUUUAAAAAGCAACUAAUUCUCCACACCCGCACACAUACACUCACACACACACUAGCACACUUGCUCACACAAACCCCACAAACUUUAAGCCUGUGAAGCUACCCAGGUGGUGCUUGGAGAAUUUUGGUAAAGAAAGAAAGAAAUAAGAAGUACUUGAGACAGAUGCUAGCUGGCAAGAUAUCACAAGGGUAGAAGCUGGUUUUGUUUUAUUUUUGUUUUAGUAUGUUUUAAAAAUCUCUUUUUUCUUUUCUUGUCCCCCCUGCAACCGCGGCUAGUUUGAUAGUUGGUUUCUGGCAAGAGGAAAGAAAAGGCUGCAGCACUAAAGGAAGAAUCAGAGUAUUUAAAGGACGCUCAAAAUGUAGUGUUGUGGCGGGUCGGGGUAAGUUACAUUUUCUUUUGUUUUCUCUUUGGUUUUGGAACGCAGCGAGAAUGCACUUUGGGCAGAGUUUUCCUGUUGUUUUUAGAGAUUAGAAAGUAACUUCCAGCUCCUUCCUGCGUUGACUGUCUCCGGUGACUUUGCUCUCAUUUUGGGGUGACUUAAAAGGAGAUGCUCUCUCCUCUGUUGCUGUCACCGUGGUCUCAGAGGCCCGCGAGCCCGGAGUGGCCAGGGCUUGGAGAGGCGCGCUCGGGGCUCAGAGGCAACAAGUCCUGGACUCUCCCGCCCCAGGCCAGCCCCGCGCCGCGCUGUAGCCUGAGCUGAGCCUGUGGCUCACCUGGCUCCCAGGAACGAGUUUUGCACUUGUAAACUAUUUGCUUGUGGACGCACACAGCUGCUACUCUCCGGGUUAUCAGGGGGAAAAUUCUCUUGCCUUAAAUGGACGAUUUGGAAAAACUCAGCCAUUGGUUCUUGCCAAAUGAUUAUUGAUGCAAAGUCAACCCUAAGGGUGGAAGUGUGUGCUCGUUUGUUUAACCCCCCAAAUAUUACACUUCCGAGUUGCACGAGUUGACAUCCACUUGAAAUCAUUUGUAUUUUUUUUCAGCGGCGGGGAAAAUAAGUAGGCGUGAUCUGCGGCAGACGGUGUAGACCCAUUAGUGUGGGAGGCAUAUUUCACCGAAAAGUGAUGUCUUGUGUUCGCCAAGUGUAGGAAAGUGGCCCCAAAGAAACUUGAAACUGCGUCUCCCAGGGCGAGCGCACACAUUUUCAGACUUGCGUUACCAAUAUGUAGUCAUCUGCACUUUCCUGCCACUGAUGCAUUGCUUUGGGAUUCAGUUCUGCGGUUCGAAUAAUAUCGGUGGUCUGCGGGUGUGUUUUAUGUCAUGUAUGUUUAGUGCCAAGGGGUCGUUUAUUUAAGUAAACAGCGACCUGAAAACGUUUGCUGCAAGCCAGAUUUAAUUUAAUAUUAGCUUGCCCCUUACCCGGGAACGUGAAAAGCCAUGUGCAGGGCCAGAGGCUGGGGAGAGUUGAUCCAGGUGUUCGCAAACACAUCUUUGCCAGCUGCAUUUUAGAGGAAGUCCAGGGAAUUGACGAGGGAGCCUCAGAGGAACUGACAAGGAACUGCUCGGUGGCGAUUUUUGUUCCUUAGCAGGAGCGACUCCAGCGCCUGGGUCUGACGGGGCUAGCAUAUAAAAUGCAACUUUUGCCCCAUUGGUUCGCUAGGUAAAUUAGCACAUACUGGGACUGAACAGUCCUUGACCUUUGCCUUUAUGUUUGCGCAAAUGUUUGCCUAAAACACAAUCGGCCUUGACAAGGGAGCAUGCUACCGUGUGACACUGCCUAUUCACCAGAUAGAUGUUCCCUGCCACACACGACCCAGAGAAGCCUUUUAAAUAGCUUAGGUAUUUGUAAAAACCGUAUAAAUUAAUGUCGGAUGAUUGCUAGUUGCUGAUUAAAUAGCAGACCAUUUAUAUGUGAGAUGCACAUCUCUCUCUGGCCUUUUUCCUCCCCCCAAAAUUCUGGUAAGAGAACCAGAAAAAAAAACUGAUAGUGUGGGAAAGUUGGUAUUUUGGGGGAGCCAACAGAUUCUUGUUUGAUCAAAAGGGCAUGUGUGUAUAGUUCCCUUACAAGUGACUUUUCAAUGAAGAUGAGGAAGGGAUGAAGAAAGAGGAGGGAGCAAGAGUGUAGAAAACUUUGGGGACUAAUGCUAGCAUAACUGGUAAUAAGACUGCUUGGGGGUAUGAACCUGAAUAUUCUGGAAGAUUUAUUGCUCCUAUAGGGGCCAAGGACAGUCAAGAAGCUCUUAAGGUCCUGGAGACCCUCUGGGAUUUGGGAAUGGUUCUGAUUCCUGAGCUUUACAGUUGUGAGCACUUUCUCCAAUAAAACCAAAAACUUUCACAGCAGGAGAAAGAUACCUUGUAAAAAUCUAAAAUUUGUUUAAAUCCUCAUUAUAAACCUUUCAUCUGAAAUGACUUAGAGGACUAAGUUGCCUUUCUCUGGACUUUGACAUAGGAAAAGAAGGAACUUCCUUCAACUGUGAUUUCUAGCUGGGUUCAGAAUUUUCCACAUUCUUGUUAUUACCAGUAAUGUAACAAAAGCUCACCAAUUUCCAAGACAUAGUUCCUGUGGCAUAAAAGACUGUGGAAACAGGAAGAGCAAAUUAAGAACAAGGGCAUUUUUGGUAUUCAUUCAGAAAGUGUCAUUCCUUUUGAAGAGAGGAGGGUUUACUUCCUCCAUUCUAAAGGCAUUCAGGUGGCGGAGGUAACACUAACACAAGCUACCGCCUGAGAAUGCAGAUUUGAGUCUCAGCCACUGUGGUUUCUCUAAACAUUUGCAAGGUCACUUUAAGUUGUCCUUUAACUGUCUGCAGGUGGAGGAGAGAGCAGGUCACCAGCUCCUCCACAGAAGCUCUUUUUCUUGAUCUCUGGGCAGAAUUCACCUUCUUUCUAUUGGACUAUGAUUGAGGGUAACGAAGAAUUUGUUUAACAAAAGCCAUAUUCCAGGCCAAGUUUCUCACAAAAGUAGGAGAAAGGCAGGCGCUAGCCUGGUCAUAUCUGAACCAGACCGUCAUUUUGAACAAUGUCAUGAAGGGGAUAAAAGAAGGAGCAGGGGCACAAGGAGCUCAGCUUCCUCUGCCCCAGUUGGUUUUCCAACUGUCUUCUCCAGCGUUCUCAGCACGGGUGUCAGCCCAGCCCUACUCAUAGAAGGAGCUACUGGAAAAACCCACCCCUACCCUCAAGCCUACAGGGCUACUUAGUGAAAAAUAAAUUCCUCUGAAAUCAGGUGAAAGGAGUUGGUGUUAGUGGUCUUUCUCCCUUAACAAGCUAAGCUGGGGACGAUAUGAAAGGUUGACUGUAGCAGUUCUGCAGCAGGGAGAAGACAACAGUGUCUCUAAGUGGAGAUAUGAAUAGGGCCCUCUGGGAUUGCAGAAUUUAGGACCAUCUCAAUAGUGGUCUUCUAAGUUGUGGGCUCCUGACAGUUCCUCCAAGGCAUAGCCUGGAAAGGCAGGCUGUCCUGGGGUGGGGGGUGGGGACCUAGUUAGGUAUGGCAAGUCCCUGACAGAACUUCAGUCUGCACAUCUAAGAAACAAAGAAAGCUAGAAGCUUUAUAGACACUCUGGAGAGGCUGGCUGACUUCCACUUUGAAGGCAAAUUUCAUGUUAUUUUUAUUUUCAGCUGCAGCACUGGGUCUGGAACUCAGGGCUUUGCACACUAGGUAAGCAUUUUACCACUGUUUUAUAUCCCUAGCCUCAGAGUUCUUUUUAAAUAUUUAAAAGUUUCAUCUGUCUUUGGUACUGUGAUGACCUAGAGAUCUUCAUUCUUUUUAUAUCAAGUUGAAAUGUCAGGGAUUAUAAUUUUCAUGUGCAUCAGAAGUGCUGGAAAGUAACAGUCCAGCAGCAGCCCCAUAUGAGGAAGUUUUCCGAACAUGCACAAAAGAGAAUUCUCUAGUUUGACCAGCAAUAUACUUGUGUCCCCUUUCGGGUCCCCGUGCUCCAUUUAGCUGAGUGACGUGUGGGCCUGCUGCUGGACUUCUUCCAUACCUUGCUUGUAUGAGGAAAUUAAUGCAGUAACUUUUCAAAAGCUAAGCUAUCUGCUUCUUUUGGAAAGAAGACAACCAUCUGUUAGGUUGCCUGGACGAGUAUGUAGGAACCCAACCCUCCAGAGGCCAGGGGCUUUUGCCCCACGAGUCUUCCCUUCUAUUUCCCCAAAGUCACCGCAAUAGAUGAAUAUUUGAGAAGUCAGUGAAGUUGUUUGCAAACACAUGCGGGUCAGUGUGGCCAGCGAACGGGAGAAAGACAGUUCCUAGGGUGGAAUCAGCAUCUGUACAGCCCAGUGGCCCCGGGGUCAGCCCCAACAUUAAGUAAACAGUGCCGAAGCCAAGGGCUCUUUUGUAGCAGCUGUAGCUGUCCAGCCGUCAGUUCAUUGUCCAACCAGGGCUGGGGACAUGGGCGCUGCACCGGCGCCAACUCUGUGCUCAACAACUUACGGGCACGGGCUGCAUGCAUGGCCGCCCCCGGGCCGCCUAAGCUGGCUCCCUCCUCUCCAGCAGCCGCAGUCCUUCCAGAGGCCUUUUCUCCUUAUUAGGAAACAGUGAGGAUAAAAAGAGUCCAGAACUUGGGAGAGCAGGAGAUGGUGUGUGUGGGGUGACACAACAAAGAAAAGCACAAGACCCCCCCCCCCCGAGAAUGGGGGUGGGAAGAGCUGUGUCCCAAAACAACACAAGAAGAAAAUGGAAAUGGAAAUCAAACUGAAAGCACAAAAUGAUCUUGUUGAAAAGGGAUUUUUUGUUCUUCUUUUUUUUUUUUUUCCUUUUUUGUUGCUAGUAGUGGUCAGUCUUGGAAAAGUAGUGACUGUCUCAUGAUAAAGAAGGGACAACAGGGGAGAGUAUAGUAGCUUUCCUCAGAUGCAGGGCUGAAGGGGUGAUAUUAGGUCUUAAUGGCUUUUUAGGGUUCCUCUCAAAUGCCUCAAGGAUUCAUCCCUUGUGCCCAGCAUUUCCCCUAAGGAUGAAAGUUUAAAUUGAGACACUGUCUCCCCAGCCACCUUCCCCAGGUCACACAACAAAGGCUGGGAACCCUCUGGAAGUGCAGAGGAGGGGCAAAGGGGAAGGCAGAACCCUCGAGGCUGGUUUGGUCUGACUCAGAUCUCCUCAGAAGACCUAGCAACUUCAGGCUGUACCCCUGAACCCUGGCUUGCUGGAGUGAAGCCACUUUUCAGCCUGAAGCCUGGUUGCCGCAGGAGGGGAGGGGAGCAGAAUGAGGUAAAAAGCUCAGGGUAGGUAGCAAGUGAUGGAGAUCCUUGGUGGCCCCUGAGAUAAGGCUUGAUCUUUUCCAGAUCCAUCCCACCCAACACACUUUCAGACUCUGUGGCUCCCACUUCAGCAGGGUUUGUGGGACGUGUUUGUGUGUGUGGUGAAGCCUCUGGUCCGGGGCCUGCCAUUUUGGGCCUUUAGGCCCUUCUGUGCUCACAGUUAGUAGAGCUGUUCAGAUCCUCAGAGAUAAGCCUGGGCUGCUCUGAGCAGAGCUGUGCCCAAGCAUGGAGAUGUAGCUAAUGGUACCUGCCAAACACC